This 442-nucleotide ribosomal RNA is filed under the name uncultured bacterium. RNAcentral's name for it is "partial 16S ribosomal RNA". It matches the Rfam family "Bacterial small subunit ribosomal RNA", at positions 338 to 795 of the family's 1533-position model. The record is from RNAcentral.
CCUACGGGGGGCAGCAGUGAGGAAUAUUGGUCAAUGGGCGAGAGCCUGACCCAGCAACACCGCGUGAAGGAAGAAGGCUUUCGGGUUGUAAACUUCUUUUAAGAGGGAAGAGCAGAAGACGGUACCUCUUGAAUAAGCCACGGCUAACUACGUGCCAGCAGCCGCGGUAAUACGUAGGUGGCAAGCGUUGUCCGGAUUUACUGGGUGUAAAGGGCGUGUAGCCGGGCUGACAAGUCAGAUGUGAAAUUCCGGGGCUCAACCCCGGACCUGCAUUUGAAACUGUUGGUCUUGAGUAUCGGAGAGGCAGGCGGAAUUCCUAGUGUAGCGGUGAAAUGCGUAGAUAUUAGGAGGAACACCAGUGGCGAAGGCGGCCUGCUGGACGACAACUGACGGUGAGGCGCGAAAGCGUGGGGAGCAAACAGGAUUAGAUACCCGAGUAGUC